CGUAUGUCAUUUUGUUUUACAUACAAAAUUACACUUUCCUAUCAAUUAUUUUAGGAUAUAUCCGCUGAAACUUCAGUGUUUGGUACAAAAACAUAAGAAAAUUACUUUCCUUUUUCUGGUCUGUGUUGUGCAGUGAUUUCAUUGAGGAAUGGGUCAAAAUUGGUUUACCUGCAAAGGCAAAAGUGAAAACAGCACAUGGGGAUGCACCAUUUGGAGAGCUAUGCACACACUGUGAGAAGGUAUAUAUAUGGGACAAAAAUAACACCACCUACAUUAACAUUAUACUAUAGUACUAUAGUACUAUACUAUAUGAAGAAGUAUACUAUAUAUAACCAUGUAUGUGAUGGUAACAAGUUGGAUUUUUAUUUGCAGGAAGCAGUGAAUGUUUCCCUUGGAAACCUGCUAACCUACCCAUUUGUUAGAGAUGGGUUGGUGAACAAGACAUUGGCACUGAAAGGAGGAUACUAUGACUUUGUUAAGGGUUCUUUUGAGCUCUGGGGCCUUGAGUUUGGCCUUGCUUCUUCUUUCUCCGUAUGAACACCCAACCAUUAUCAAUGACCUCAUCUUGCUUCCCUAAGUAUUCUACUUUCCUAAUAUGAUGAACUACUACUCUUGUAAUUACCCUUGUUAUGGAAUGAUAAAUUCCUAAUAAAAGUUAGUGGAGAUUCUCCAUCACUCUUCAUAUAUAUAUAGCUCCAAAUUAAAGUUCCUUUUUAUGCAUGAAAAAUAGGAGUGAAGUGUAAUAAUUUAAGGUGCAUUUUUCUUCUUUGUUAGGUAA
Molecule: long non-coding RNA, 778 nt
Filed under: Lupinus angustifolius (narrow-leaved blue lupine)
Lineage: Eukaryota; Viridiplantae; Streptophyta; Magnoliopsida; Fabales; Fabaceae
Description: long non-coding RNA (LANG_LNC002949)
Source: RNAcentral